RNAcentral lists this unclassified non-coding RNA (206 nucleotides) under Hevea brasiliensis (rubber tree). Lineage: Eukaryota; Viridiplantae; Streptophyta; Magnoliopsida; Malpighiales; Euphorbiaceae. The record is from RNAcentral.
GCUCCUACUUGCAGAGCUCGUUUUUCACCUUCUUUCAUCCCUCUUAAUCGAACCAGAGCACUAGAGCAAUGGUGUGGUUUCAGUGUGAAGAUUGCGGAGAGAACUUGAAGAAGCCUAAAUUACCUAAUCACUUCAGAAUUUGCUCAGCCAACAAGCUAUCAUGCAUUGAUUGCGGAGAGAUUUUCGGGCAGGAAAGCGUUCAGGGC